Molecule: ribosomal RNA, 256 nt
Filed under: uncultured bacterium
Lineage: Bacteria
Description: partial 16S ribosomal RNA
Rfam family: Bacterial small subunit ribosomal RNA
Source: RNAcentral
UACAGAGACCUCAAGCGUUAUCCGGAAUUAUUGGGCGUAAAGCGUACCGAUAGGUGGUUUGGUUAGUCUUGGGUGAAAUCCCGAAGCUCAACUUCGGGUUUGCUUAAGAUACUGCCAGACUAGAGGGGCAAAGAGGAGAUUGGAACGAACGGUGUAGUAGUGAAAUGCGUUGAUAUCGUUCGGAACACCGAAAGCGAAGGCAGAUCUCUGGGUGCCUCCUGACACUGCUAGGACGAAAGCGUGGGUAGCGAAUGGG